Molecule: ribosomal RNA, 1241 nt
Filed under: Vreelandella lionensis
Lineage: Bacteria; Pseudomonadati; Pseudomonadota; Gammaproteobacteria; Oceanospirillales; Halomonadaceae
Description: bacterial SSU rRNA
Rfam family: Bacterial small subunit ribosomal RNA
Source: RNAcentral
GUUUAAGCGGCUGCUACCAUGCAAGUCGAGCGGUAGCACAGAGAAGCUUGCUUCUUGGGUGACGAGCGGCGGACGGGUGAGUAAUGCAUAGGAAUCUGCCCGAUAGUGGGGGAUAACCUGGGGAAACCCAGGCUAAUACCGCAUACGUCCUACGGGAGAAAGGGGGCUCCGGCUCCCGCUAUGGGAUGAGCCUAUGUCGGAUUAGCUAGUUGGUGAGGUAACGGCUCACCAAGGCAACGAUCCGUAGCUGGUCUGAGAGGAUGAUCAGCCACAUCGGGACUGAGACACGGCCCGAACUCCUACGGGAGGCAGCAGUGGGGAAUAUUGGACAAUGGGCGCAAGCCUGAUCCAGCCAUGCCGCGUGUGUGAAGAAGGCCCUCGGGUUGUAAAGCACUUUCAGCGAGGAAGAACGCCUAGCGGUUAAUACCCGCUAGGAAAGACAUCACUCGCAGAAGAAGCACCGGCUAACUCCGUGCCAGCAGCCGCGGUAAUACGGAGGGUGCAAGCGUUAAUCGGAAUUACUGGGCGUAAAGCGCGCGUAGGUGGCUUGAUAAGCCGGUUGUGAAAGCCCCGGGCUCAACCUGGGAACGGCAUCCGGAACUGUCAAGCUAGAGUGCAGGAGAGGAAGGUAGAAUUCCCGGUGUAGCGGUGAAAUGCGUAGAGAUCGGGAGGAAUACCAGUGGCGAAGGCGGCCUUCUGGACUGACACUGACACUGAGGUGCGAAAGCGUGGGUAGCAAACAGGAUUAGAUACCCUGGUAGUCCACGCCGUAAACGAUGUCGACCAGCCGUUGGGUGCCUAGCGCACUUUGUGGCGAAGUUAACGCGAUAAGUCGACCGCCUGGGGAGUACGGCCGCAAGGUUAAAACUCAAAUGAAUUGACGGGGGCCCGCACAAGCGGUGGAGCAUGUGGUUUAAUUCGAUGCAACGCGAAGAACCUUACCUACUCUUGACAUCCUGCGAAUUCGGUAGAGAUACCUUAGUGCCUUCGGGAACGCAGAGACAGGUGCUGCAUGGCUGUCGUCAGCUCGUGUGUGAAAUGUUGGGUUAAGUCCCGUAACGAGCGCACCCUUGUCCUUAUUUGCAGCACGUAUGGUGGUCUCUAGAGACUGCUGGUGACAAACGAGAGUGGGACGACGUCAGUCAUCAUGCCUUACGAGUAGCCUACCACGUGCCUACCAUGACGGUACAUGAUGCACUCGCGAAGAGUGGACUUAUCGAAAAGCCGGUUUCUCAGAUUCC